UGAGGAGUCAGCAGCAGCCAAAAUCAGUUGGGUUACUCACAUCUUGAGCGGAGAUCUUGAGCCAACUCGGAGGAGUCCUCUUGUAAGGAAGAGCUGAAGAUGAGAUACCCUU
Ipomoea nil (Japanese morning glory) is the source of this 112-nucleotide long non-coding RNA. RefSeq lists it as uncharacterized. The record is from RefSeq and is a predicted model, not a curated record. NCBI's taxonomy places the organism in Eukaryota, Viridiplantae, Streptophyta, Magnoliopsida, Solanales, Convolvulaceae. The transcript is spliced from 3 exons.